RNAcentral lists this long non-coding RNA (3391 nucleotides) under Triticum aestivum (bread wheat). Its description in RNAcentral is "long non-coding RNA (TAES_LNC001919)". The record is from RNAcentral. Lineage: Eukaryota; Viridiplantae; Streptophyta; Magnoliopsida; Poales; Poaceae.
ACAGAUUGAAACAUGUGGAAAUAAAAAUUGUUGCUGGCAAUGUCAUGAUUUUCUCUAACCAGUAUAAACAUACAUAAAUAGUCUUCUGAAAAUAUUAGUAGAAGGGCAGUUGAUUACUUAUAUAGAACAAGUGAUCACAAACUUCCCCACAGAGACAGUAAUGAGGUCUAAAGUGUACACGAGUGGAAAUGUAAAGGCUAUACAUAUCUUGCUCAGAGCAAAGCCAAAAGGGGAAAGAUACUGGAUCGAUUGAUACGAAAUAAAAGGUGGCUGCUGUUGGUUAGGACAUAUAGACUCAAGGUCACCAGAAACUAUCUUAUGUAGUAUUCAGGCACUGCUCUGACUUCAUGCCAAUAUAGCGUAACCUCUGCGUCAAUUCUUCAAUGCUUGCAUUAGCUACUACUUCAGUUCUUUUGAUAAAAUGGUUUUUACACCAGUAGCAGCACCCCUAAGAUUAGCAAGUUUCCAGCAAAAGGAUCACAUGAGAAUCACAUAUCUGCCUCCUAUAUGAAGAGAAACAGAAACCCAACAAGAUGAUAUAAAGAAACAGAGGUAUCAAAACUGUAAUUGCUAUAAGAAAAGAAGCUUGAUUGCACAAGGUUUUUUAUUGCUAUAAGAACAGAAGCUUGGUUACAGUGUGAUAAAAAUAACAAGCACAUAAGAUUGGAACAGCAAAUAGAACACAACAUAAAUAAGCAGUAGAUAUACCAAAUCUUAAUACGUAGCUAAUUUAACUAUAUGGCUAAUUAGUUUGCAUGUACGAAGCAAGUUACUUUUGAUGCAACAGGAAGAGUUGCCUGUAUAUGCUAACAGGAAAAAAAUAAAAUGUAUAUUAGAUUUUGAAGGUAAAAUGAUGUUUUAUUGGGCCUAUGAUCAAUUUGAAUAUAGCUGUGGCAGAAAAGAUAGUUUGAUCAAAUGGCAUAACAUGCAUCGUGUGAAGAAGAAAGCAUUUUUGAGAGCCACAGAGAAGGAUGCUUUGGUUGUCAAAGAAGACAAGGUAAAGGAUGAACAAGAGGCGGCACGCCAUAUCUUAUGUUGAACUGGUUGGAUGUAACAGACUAUGAGUCUUUACCUCUUGGCUUUAGCCUGUUCAGCAAGAAUGUUCUUUGGCUCUUCGUAGCUGCAGCUUCAGUUUCCUGACCAACCUGUUUAGUUUGCUGCUAUUAAAUAUCAUUGUACAGGAAGCAUGGUUUGUGCAAAAGAGGAAAGUUAUUUGCAUAUAAAACAUAGGCAUGGACACUUGACACAGCUUAGGUACUCUCUCACUGGUACGCACUAUAGAUAGAACACACUCGUAUAUUUUUCAGCUACUUGGUUCGUUGGUGUUAGAAUUGCUCUUUCUUUUAGAUAAUCAACGUCAGAAUGUCUAGUAGGAACAUCUUUGUAUACAGCCUGAACAAUGGCAUCGAUUUUGUCACCAUUAGUGUGUAUUAAAAGCUCAUCAGGGAUGGUUAUCCAAGAUGGAUCCGACUCCCCCUCACGGGCAACAGCAGGCAACACGAAAUUGAUGAACAACAACAAGAUUCAGACAAACAAGCAGAAGCAUUAAAGCAGUUGACAGGAGCAUUAAAGCAUAUAUUAUUUUAACAUUGUGGAAAUUGCGCAUAAGGCCUGAAGACCAUAGUUAAAAAAGGCGCGCCUAAGUGAGCGCUUAAGCGCGCCUAGGCUCCAGGCGUUGGAAAAACGCAUUGCGCAUAACUACGUUUAAUCUAUGCAUAACUGCGCAUAAGCAUGCGCUUUGGUGAGUAAAGCACAAGGCAGUGGCAAAAUGCACAAUUAACGCCUAACGCUUUUUUGAACUAUGCUGAAGACUGAAUCAAUUCAGCAUUAUUGGUCAACUCCUACCGUUGGUAUAUUUUAAAAAAUUUCAAUACAUCUGGUCUCGGCAGCUUAUAUACCAGUUAAAAAGCAUGAUCCAUUAUGGUCUUAGUAGUAAGCAACUCGGAUAGAAGCAUAGGCUAAUGUGAGGCAGUUACACAUACCGCAAAAGCAUCCUAAAGACGGAUGUUUUUCACGCAAGCUAUAUUAGUAGAGAAACUAUUGCUCAGCUUUGUAAAUCGUAACCAUAAAAAGGAAAAAGAAGCCUAUGAAAAAUUGCAUAGCAGCACAUAUUAACAGAAGGAAAAUCAGACUAAAAUAUAAAAUCCUAUAACUUAGUCCUAGAAUCCUUUCGUCAUUUGGGGGGAUGUAUAGCAUGGAACUGUAGUCUCGAGAGCCUGAUCAGUAUGAAAUCUUUCAACUAUUUUGUUACCCGUGUCAAUAUCCCUCAGUUCCAGCGGCAGCAAUCAAGAGUCAAGAAUAAAUCAAAUUGGUAAUUAAACAAAUGACAAAUUUAAGCUCCAGUUAAGUCAAGCAUAUAAAAAAAUGCCCCUGAACUUAAUAUUGGUCAUUUGGGGGGAUGUAUAGCAUGGAAUUGCAGAUAUGCCAAUGGGGAGUUGUAAUUCAGAGCAUCUAUGAAUAAAGAGUGUGCAGUAAGAAAUGAAAGCACUAUGUAUACUCAGGGUCGCCGGAGACAUGCAUUGAAGGAAAUAUGUGCAUUAUACCACCAUAUUUCUUGGCUGACUCAACCAAGUCACAUACUUUCUCCUGCUACCGACGUCUGUGUUCCUACAAGGGGAAGAAAAACGUUCAACUAUUACCACUCCACUUUCAGUAUAUAUACGGUGCCAACAGCUUGGCAUAGAACCUAAUGUUUUUCUGUGAGUUCAUGGAUCGGCCAUUGGGAGAAUAUUACAAGGUGGAGGCAGAAGGAGAAUAAUCAAAUAGCAAGACUGUACAAGAAAAUAAGCUGCAACUUGCAACUCAUCAAAUUUUAUUUAAAUUUACAGGUCAUAUUAGAUGCAUAGGAAGCACAGGUAAAUACAGAUGUUCAGCUUCAAGCCACUCAUCACAUAUAGGGGACCUCCCUUGCUAUGCCCAGACCAACAAAAAAUGAACUGUCAAUACGACUGGACUGACGAAAUGAACUAUUGAAAGGGAAACCUACUAUUUUUUUGCAGAAAAUUUUCAAUUUGACAAUGCAAAAAGUAGUAAACACCACAAGAUGUGAGAUUUUUUCCCGUUCCUCAAUCAAUAGCAUCUUCAACAUCGAGAGUAACGAUCAACAACCAGCUCAUGUUGCAAAUAUAUUUCAAUUGAACAAAGCAGGCUACAUCCAGCAAUAACUUGACCUAAGUUUCUACUCUUGACCUUUUAUAGUGCUCGUUUAUGCCAUGAACAAUAAGGAGUGGAAAUUAAUAUAUGCCGAACCAAUAUUUCGGAAUUUGUAAAGGCCAAGUAAUUCAACAACCUAAUGUUUCCUGGUGAGACACACCAUUCAUCCAUAGCAGGUUAGGCAAGCAAGCUUAGUCUAACCUACUGCAAUGGCUGCUGCUGUACCACGAGUGUCGGG